CCAGACUCCUACGGGAGGCAGCAGUGGGGAAUAUUGCACAAUGGGGGGAACCCUGAUGCAGCGACGCCGCGUGGGUGAAGGAGUAUUUCGGUAUGUAAAGCCCUAUCAGCAGGGAAGAACAAUGACGGUACCUGACUAAGAAGCACCGGCUAAAUACGUGCCAGCAGCCGCGGUAAUACGUAUGGUGCAAGCGUUAUCCGGAUUUACUGGGUGUAAAGGGAGCGUAGACGGCGACGCAAGUCUGGAGUGAAAGCCCGGGGCCCAACCCCGGGACUGCUCUGGAAACUGCGUCGCUGGAGUACGGGAGGGGCAGGCGGAAUUCCUGGUGUAGCGGUGAAAUGCGUAGAUAUCAGGAGGAACACCGGCGGCGAAGGCGGCCUGCUGGACCGUGACUGACGUUGAGGCUCGAGAGCGUGGGGAGCAAACAGGAUUAGAUACCCGAGUAU
RNAcentral lists this ribosomal RNA (446 nucleotides) under uncultured bacterium. RNAcentral's name for it is "bacterial SSU rRNA". It matches the Rfam family "Bacterial small subunit ribosomal RNA", at positions 331 to 793 of the family's 1533-position model. The record is from RNAcentral.